GACGAACGCUGGCGGCGUGCUUAACACAUGCAAGUCGAACGGAAAGGCCCUGCUUUUGUGGGGUGCUCGAGUGGCGAACGGGUGAGUAACACGUGAGUAACCUGCCCUUUACUUUGGGAUAACUUCAGGAAACUGGGGCUAAUACCGGAUAGGAGCUCCUGCUGCAUGGUGGGGGUUGGAAAGUUUCGGCGGUUGGGGAUGGACUCGCGGCUUAUCAGCUUGUUGGUGGGGUAGUGGCUUACCAAGGCUUUGACGGGUAGCCGGCCUGAGAGGGUGACCGGCCACAUUGGGACUGAGAUACGGCCCAGACUCCUACGGGAGGCAGCAGUGGGGAAUAUUGCACAAUGGGCGGAAGCCUGAUGCAGCAACGCCGCGUGCGGGAUGACGGCCUUCGGGUUGUAAACCGCUUUCGCCUGUGACGAAGCGUGAGUGACGGUAAUGAGUAAAGAAGCACCGGCUAACUACGUG
Molecule: ribosomal RNA, 468 nt
Filed under: uncultured bacterium
Lineage: Bacteria
Description: partial 16S ribosomal RNA
Rfam family: Bacterial small subunit ribosomal RNA
Source: RNAcentral